Non-coding RNA from Pangasianodon gigas (Mekong giant catfish), 72 nucleotides. The record is from the annotation of a GenBank genome assembly. Lineage: Eukaryota; Metazoa; Chordata; Actinopteri; Siluriformes; Pangasiidae.
UCUUUGGAGGACUAGUGGUUAAGCCACAGCUCUCCCACUGCUGUGGCCCGGGUUCGAUUUCUGGCCAGGGAA